GAGAGAUGUCAGAGUGGUCGAAUGUGCCGGUCUUGAAAACCGGUGUACCGAGAGGUACCGGGGGUUCGAAUCCCUCUCUCUCC
This 83-nucleotide transfer RNA is filed under the name uncultured Prevotella sp. It matches the Rfam family "tRNA". From Rfam's summary of the family: Transfer RNA (tRNA) molecules are approximately 80 nucleotides in length. Their secondary structure includes four short double-helical elements and three loops (D, anti-codon, and T loops). Lineage: Bacteria; Pseudomonadati; Bacteroidota; Bacteroidia; Bacteroidales; Prevotellaceae. The record is from RNAcentral.